RNAcentral lists this long non-coding RNA (40988 nucleotides) under Elaeis guineensis (African oil palm). RNAcentral describes it as "long non-coding RNA (EGUI_LNC004213)". Lineage: Eukaryota; Viridiplantae; Streptophyta; Magnoliopsida; Arecales; Arecaceae. The record is from RNAcentral.
CCAGGAACCCAUCUUCCACCGGAUCCGGCCCUCGAUCUUGACGUGGACGAGGAGGAAGCCGGACGACUGAUCCUGGGAGAUGGCCUCGGCGAGGUGGGGCGCCACUGGGACGGAGACGGCGUAGAGGUACGGUGACCAGAGGUCGAUGUCGUUCUGGCCCUGGUAAAAGGGAGGGACGGUGGUGGCGGGGGUGAUCUGCUGGUACUUAUAGGAGGCGAAGACGUCGACGCGGUCGUAGUAGAUGCCGACGCGGGCGUUGGGGUUGUGGGUUGAGAUGGUUACCUGGAUGGUGGAGGAGAGGAGGUUGUCCGGGGAGGAGACGUUGAAGGCGUAGACGGAGGCGUCCUGGAGGUAGAACUUGGGCUUGCUGGGGCGGAGGGCGAGCCAGAUGAUGAGGAUGAUGAGGAGGUUCAGUAUGAUGAAGGCCAGGAUCCCGGCCAAGAUGCGGUAGACCUUGCCACGUCGUUUGCACCACCCGCCGUGCUGGCCGCAGUCGCUCGGCAAUGACAUUUGAGCUCGUGGGAGUGGGAGAGAUAGAGCAAGAGAAACUAAAUGCAGCAGGGGAGUUGGGGUGGGAACGGUGAUGCUUGGUCUAUAGAAGCUAGGUGUAUUUAUAAUGGUAUCUCGUUUCUACCAACCGCAAGCCUUCUCUUAGAAAGAGGGUGGUGGACCUGGUUAGCAGGUUGGAGGAUAUAAAAUAUUUUGGAUCGAGGGAUACAAGGGGAUGAUAAGUCUAUGGGGAUUGGAGGCUUUGAGGGAAGGCUGUGACCGCACGGCAAGCGCGGCAGCUCAACUUCGGGGACAAAAUAUAGGCUCUGAGCGCAAGAGGGUAGAAGAUUUUUAUUGCAAAGGUGAUAUCAUAUUAAAUUUAUGAUCAUUAAAAUAUAAAUAUUUUUAUAAAAUUAUGAUAAAUUUGAUAUGAUAUUAUCAUAGCAAUAAUUUUUUUUAUUAAAAAAAUAUUUUAAUAAAUAUUUUAAUUAAAUUAAUAAAAAAUAUCACAUCAAUAUUUUGAACUACAACUACUUCUGCAUAAAUCUUAGGUAAUUAUUAAAAUUUUUUAAUUUAAAAUAUUGAUAAAAUAUUUUUUUCAUCCAUAUUGUUUACCGUCGGUAUGAAUUAUUUUGAGACCUAUAUAAAGUGAUGAAUCAUGAAAUUUAGAGUGGAUGAUCCAACAGUCGAUCCGUGCGAAAGAAAUUGAAUCCUUCUCCUAUGCGAAUCAUGAAAUUUGGAGCGGAUGAUCCAACAGUCGACUCGUGCGAAGGAAAUUGAAUCCUUCUCCUACGUGAAAGAUGCAACCCUGCUCCCAAAAUAUAAUAUAAUGUAAGAAGAAGAAAGACUAGUUUGAAGAGAUAGCUCUACUUCGGGAAUGGGAACUAACUUGUUUAUGUAUUUAUUUACACAUGGUAUUGACUAGUUACAAAGUUAAUUAUACGGCAUGUCAAGGUCAACAAGUCAGAACGGUAUCUUCGAUCUCCCGCAUUGCACUCGGGCAUGCUCAUGCGAGAACGACUGGGUCUUUUGAUCACAGCCAUUGGAUCUUUCAUGGAUAGACUGACGUAGAUCGACGAGAGGCAUCAAAAGAUUUGGUCAGGAGUCACUAUCAGGAUCGUCAGCUGGCAAGCGAUGGCUUGCCUGUGGUCAAAAAAAGGUAAGCCUUAUUCAAUUUGCCCUCGAUUUUUAGGUGUCUUCGAAUAGCCUGAGAAGACCCAUCCACGUUGGUCGCUAUAAACGAAGUUUAGCAAUCAGGCUUGGGUUGUAUCUUUCGCAUCACAGAAUAAUUAAUCUUUCUUUAUGACAUCAAUCAUUCUAUUAUAUAUUAUACAUAUUAGAUAUAUAUCUUAAAAAUUAAUAUAUCUGACACAUUGUAAUAAUUCUAGAUCACAAUUUUGUACUUAAUAUAUUGAUAUGAUUAAUAAAAAGAGAAUUUCAUUUUCAUUCAAGUACGAUGUAUCCUUAAAUCAUCCAUGAAAUUUAUUUCGAUAUAUAUUCUCAAAAUAUUGAGAAUUAGAGACAUGUAUUUAAUUCUUAAAUAUUUUCGGUCAUAAGAUCAUCAUGAGGAUGGUGAUAAAUCCAGAUAGACUGGUGCACAAAUCGCAUCCCUCGGGAUAGAUGAGUCUCUGAUCUACUGUGUAGAAACAUAAGACGAUGAGUGCGGAUGGUUGUUAGAGAACAACUAGUACUGAGCGUGACCAUACGAGAGAUCACUUGGAUUUCUAUUCAAUCGUCAGUGAUUGUCUCGAUGCUGUAGUUGUGUGACUGGUCCUUUGAUUUGAGAUAGUAUUGCUGCUCGCAGUGAAGCUACUGAAGUUUGACUGACACAUAAACAUGGAUCUCAAUGAGCUAUUGUAGUAGAUGUUGGCGACAGUUGGUUCUCUGUAGGACUGGAGUGUACAUCAAGAUAGGAUCUAUCGACCUUGAUAGAGAGGAGUGUCCUAUAAAAUUUGAAAGGCUAAAUCCAAGAAUCUAUGGCCAUAGUAGUGUGAUUGAUGAAAAAGAGUUUUCAUAGAAGUCACAACUGGAUUUGAGCUAAUCGAAUCUAUCACAUGACUGAUGUUGAGGUUUGACGAUUUAUCCGUGACCUGCCAUCUAGUCGGGAUUCACAAUAGAGGGAUUGAAUCACACGUUAACUAUACCUAGAUGUUCAUUUCAGUUUUACUGGAUUGCCACUACAUACUGCUAGGUGUCACUGGUGGAUUGUGAGAGCUCAUUAGAAUCGUUCUGAAUCGACAAUCCUUGUCGAGUUAAAGUGGAAUUGUUCCGACCCAUUGAAAAGAAUUUUAAUGAUACAAUGAUAGAGAUCAUUGUNNNNNNNNNNNNNNNNNNNNCGUAUCUAUUGAUUAAAGAACUUUUUGUUCUCUUAUGGGGCAUCUUUUGGGUGUGUUUUGGGGUGUCUAAUUAUGGGUGCAAGGGCUCUAAUUGUUGGCACCUAAAAAGUCUCCUAAAGUAAGUUGGAUAAGUUAAGUUAAUAAAAAAUCCAAUGCAAGUAAGAUUUGUAUUAUGUGAUUGAAUAGAAUUCAAUCCUUGUGUCUAUUCAAAGGGACCUCCCCUAAAUUUUCUAGAGCAUCCAAACCAGCAGCCCCUCAUGCCCCAAGGCUCUCCCCAUGCCCUCUCUUCCUCUCCCUUUCUCUUCUCUUGGGCGUUCUACACGCCCAUUUCUUAGGACGCGAGUCCCAAGGAGUUCCAUGCCUAAGAUGUUGGGCGUCCCAUAAUUUGCUGGUUGCUGAUGUUUUAUAGCAGCACAAAGCAAGGAGAAACUCUAGAGAAAAUGAGAAGAAGAAGAUCAAGAAGAAAGAUCAAACAUUGAUCGCGAUCCAGGCUUCAUUCAGAUUCAGCAGACUGAAUUUUAGAGAACCAAAAGUCAAAUUAAAGAGGAUUGUUACAGACUGAUCCCAAGUGGAUACUCGUAGAGACCGGACGCUUGUGUAGUUAAGAGAGAACCUCUUCUCUUUCAGAUCCAGAUUCGAAGAAAAGGAUUGCGAAACAGAUAUGUGAUUUAAUCAUAAUCUGAAUUUCAGCAUAUAUCAAUUUCAACAUAUGAGAUAGAUCCAUAUAGUUUUAUAUUUUCAUGCAUGCAUAAUUCAGAUUAAAUAUGUUUUAAUCUUAUUCUCCAUUGCAGUGUCUAGAAAAUAAAAUUUUUGAAAUACAUAUGCAUGCACCAAAUCUCGAAUUCUAAUAGUACAACUCUCAGAGCACACCAAACUCUCUCUUUUAUUGCGUAGAUAUUUUAAGGAAAGGAGAGGGUGAGAGAGAAAGAGAGAGGGAGAGAGAUUGGGCUUGGCAAGGGGAGGGAGCUAAGGUGGUUUGUCUACAGAGAGGUUUAGGGAAUGGGGAGGGUGAAGGAGGUUUGGGAAGGGUAGGACGCUAAGGUGAUUUGUCUAUAGAGAUUAAAGAGUGGUUUAGGGAAAGGGAAGGGUGAGUGUUAGAAAGUAAGAGAAAUUCUUUAUGCAUCGUAGAUGGUGUAGAAAAUCUGACGUGGAGUGCACCACUUUAUAUGAUUGAUCUACAUAGCCAUCACUUUUCAAUACGCAUUUCAUGCCUACAGUUCUAUUUUUUCGUUUAAAAAUUUUGCAUAACAAAAAUAUCUCUAUUUUUUGAAAAAAUUAUGAUAUUCUGUGAUAUAUUAUGACUUUCAUCAUGUAGGAUGCCAUAAUAUGGUUCGAAAAAUUAUAUCAUCCUAUAUUCUUAUGGUAUAUUAUGACAUCCUACGUCAAAUCAUGACUUUCUGCAAGCAUGCAGGAUGUCAUAAUAUGGUCUAAGAUAUCAUAAUAUAAAAAAAAUAUUUUUAUCCAAUCACUUUUUAAUAUGCACUUAAUGUCUAUAGUUUUGUUUUUUUAUUUAAAAAUUUUGAAUAUGAAAAUACCCCUGCUCUUCGAAAAAAAUUAUGACAUCCUAUAGCAUAUUAUAACAUUCUACAUCAAAAUUAUGACUUCCUGCACGUAGGAUGUCAUAAUAUGGAUAUAAGAUGUCAUAUUUUUUUCAAAGAGCAAGGAUAUUUUCGUUAUUCAAAAUUUUCAAACUAAAAAGUGAAACUACAUGCAUUAAAUGUAUGUUGAAAAAUGAUGGCUAUAUAGACUAAUCACAUAAAGCGAUGCACUCCACGUCAGAUUUUCUUCACCGCCUAUGAUGCAUAAAGAAUUUUGCUAGAAAGUAAUCCACUUCCUUUUGGGCAGCCCACAUCGGCUAUGGUAGAACAGCCCACAUGGGUUUAAGUGACAAAAGCUUACAUGGGCCAAGAUUCUAAAUAGUUUCAAAGAAAUAUCUGUAAAAUAUCUACAUCAUAAAUAUCUGGACUUAUCUAGAGAAUCUUGAAUUUAGAAUCUUCUUGAACCUCUAUAAAUAAGAGGGGUCCUUCCCAUUUGUAAUCAAGAAGUUUGAAAGAAAAUAAUAAAAAUUCAAGUUCUCUUUUACUAUUCUUUCCCUUUUUCCUUCUCUCCACAACCAUCCUUACAAACUUUUCUCUAUUUUGCUGCAAAACAACUAAUCUUUUGCCUCAAUCCAAGAUCUCCUACUUCCAUAUCAACUAUCUAGCUCCUACAAAUUAGUAUCAAAGUAGUGUUACGAUAGCGGACGACUAACAAAUGGCUAGCUCUGCUAUUUCAGCCUUUUUAAUGAUUGGCUUUGCCACCUCCAUAUCAAUGGUUGGCUCUACCGCCUCUAUGCAAUCUAUGGCUCGCUUUGCUGUCCACAUGCAAUCCUCUCUUCAUGAUUUUUGGAAAAUUAAAAUGAGAACUAUGCUCUAAUCAUAGAGGCUAUGGUCAAUUGUUGAUGCGGGUUACACAAAAUCAGAAAAUGAGAGCCAACUCUUAAAUGAAGCAAAAGAGAAUCUUGAAGUCUACAGAAUAAGGGAUGCAAGAGCACUCUACCUCAUUCAGUAAGGGGUAGCAGAAAUAAUAUGUCCAAGGAUCAUGGGAGCGAGCAAAGCAAAGGAGGUUUAGAACAUCUUAAAGCAGGAGUCUGAAGGUGACAACAAGGUGAAAAUUAUUAAACUACAAUCUCUUAGAAGAGAGAUAACAAAUUUAAGAAUGAGAGAAGGAAAAAUCAUGAAAGAUUAUUUUUCUAAAGCGACAGAUAUAGUGAAUUAAAUGAAGUUAUAUGGAGAAAACAUAACAGAUCAAAGGAUAGUAGAGAAAAUAUUAAUAAGCUUACUAGAAAAAUAUGAUUAUAUAGUUGCAGCUAUAAAGAAGUCAAAGUAUUUAUCAAAAUUAUCAGUACAAGAAUUAAUGGGCUCUUUGCUAUCCCAUGAACAAAGAAAGUUAAGACAUAUAGAGUAGUCUUCUAUAAAAGGUACAUUUUAAUCAAAGUUAAAUUUCAGAUCUUAAAAAAGUUUUUCAGAAAAAAAAACUGUAGGAUGCUUACAAAGGAGAGAAAUUAUUUUAUUCAUGUCAAGCAGCCUCACAUAAUAAAGAUAAUAUUUGGUAUCUUGAUAGUGGCUAUAGUAAUCAUAUGAGUGGAAAUGAAAGAAUAUUUCAGGACAUGAAUACUACAGUGACAUCAGAAGUAAGAAUGGAAAAUGGGGCAAUUGUACAAGCUAAAGAAAAAGGUAUCAUAGUAGUAGAAACAAAGAAAAAAGUAAACUAUAUCAAUGAUGUGCUAUUGGUUACUGAUUUAGAGCAAAAUUUGGUAAGUGUGGUGCAAUUGGUACAAAAUGGAUAUUAUGUUCAUUUUGAAGAUGGUGCUUAUAAAAUUUAUGAUAAUAAAAAAAAAUUAAUUAAUUACAAAGAUAAGGAUGGAAAGAAAUAAAAAUUUUCCUAUUGAGUUUUAGUAUCCUCCACAUAUUGCAUUAAAAACAAAAGUAAUUAAUAGAAAAAACAUGGAUAUAGCAUAAAAGAUUUUGCCAUUUAAAUUUUUGGGGCCUCAAAUCAUUAAAAUAAAAAGAAAUGGUGCAUGGCUUACCAAAUACUUCUACCAACAUAGAUACUUAUUAAGGGUGCAUUUUAGGAAAGCAUCAUCGUGCUCCAUUCAAAGGCAAAGCUUGGAGAGCUAAGGCACCACUGGAGCUUGUACACACAGAUAUAUGUGGAAAGAUAUAAACUCUAUUUUUAAAAAAAUAUAAGUAUUUUAUUAUUUUCAUUGAUGAUUAUACUAGAAUGAUCUGGAUAUAUUUUUUCAAGAAAAAAUCAGAAGCAUUUGAAACAUUCAAAAAUUUUAAGGCUUUUGUGGAAAAGCAAAGCAGACAUAUGCUCAAAGUUCUAAAAAGUGAUAGAGGAAAAGCGUAUACCUCCAAGAAUUUUCAUAAAUUCUGUAAAGAUGAGGACAUCCAUAGAUAGCUAACAGCAUCAUACAGUCUGCAGUAAAAUAGCAUUACUGAAAGAAAGAAUAGGACGAUUGUUGAGAUGGCCAGGUCUAUGCUAAAGGAGAAGGGACUGCUUAAUACAUUCUGGACAGAAAUAGUCAACACCACCGUUUAUAUCCUUAACAGGUGCCCAACUAAAGUAAUGCAAAAUAAGAUGCCAAUUAAAGCAUGGAGUGGAGAAAACCCUUGGCAAGUCAUUCAAAAAUUUUUGGAUGUAUUUGCUAUGCACAUGUCUUUAAUAAAAGAAGAACAAAAUUUGAUGAUAAAAAUGAAAAAUAUAUUUUUGUUGGAUAUGGUACUAAUACCAAUGGCUAUAAACUUUAUAACAUCAAGACUAAGAAAUUGAUAAUCAGUAGAAAUAUUAUUUUCAAUGAAAAACUCUCUUAGGAUUGGAAUGAAGAAAAAGUGCAGGAGACCCCAAUAAUAAUUUUUUAAGUGCAACCACAAUCAACACUAGCUUAUGAAGAAGAGAAGGAGACUAAGUUAGAAGAGACAAUAAGUCUAGGAGAGCAACCAUCCUCACCAAAAUCUCCUCCAAGGUGGGUAAGAUCUUUAAGAAAAAUUUAUGAAAGAUGCAAUUUUACCUUACUUGAACUGAAAAAUUUCGAAGAAGCAGCAAAAGAAGAAGUUUGGAUUAAUGCUAUAGAGGAAGAAAUCAAGAUGAUAGAAAAAAUAAAACAUGAGAGCUGAUAGAUCGACUCAAAGAUCGAGACGUCAUUGGAGUUAAAUGGAUCUACAGGACUAAAACUAAUCCAAAUGGGUCAAUAUAAAAGCAUAAAGCAAGAUUGGUUGUAAAGGCUUUACACAAAAAUCAUGCAUUGACUUCUAUGAAACUUUUGCUCUUGUCACAAAAUUAGAAACUAUCAAAAUAUUUAUUGCCCUAGCUACACAAAAGAAAUAAAAUAUUUAUCAGUUGGAUGUUAAAUUUGUAUUUUUGAAUGGAGUCCUAAAAGAAGAAAUAUAUGUUGAGCAACCAGAAAGAUUCUUAGUGCCAGGGGGAGCAGACAAAGUAUAUAAAUUAAAAAAAACUCUAUAUAGAUUAAAACAAGCUACCAAGGGUCUAGUACAGUGAAAUAGAUAAAUAUUUCACUAAAUAUAAUUUUAGAAGGAGGCAAAGUGAGCCCACUUUAUAUAUUAAAACAGAAGACUCAGAUAUAUUAAUAGUUUCAUUAUAUGUUGAUGACUUAAUUUACAUGAGAAAUAAUGAGAAGAUGGUUGAAAAAUUUAAGAAAAACAUGAUGAAGACUUAUAAGACGAGUGACUUGGGCUUAUUACAUUACUUCCUUGGUAUUGAAGUGGACCAAUAAGAAGGCAUAUUUAUAUGCCAAAAAAAAGUAUAUAAAAAAUAUACUUAGAAAAUAUAGAAUGAAAGAGUACAAAAUUGUUUCUAUACCAUUAAUGCCUUAUGAAAAAUUGAAGAAAGAAAAUGGUUCAAAGUUAGUAGAUGCACGAUCCUACAGAAGCUUGAUUAGAAGUCUUCUAUGUCUCACUGCAACAAGACUAAAUAUUAUUUAUGCUUCUAGUUUAUUAUCAAGAUAUAUGCAAAGUCCUUGUCAACUUUACUUCAGUGCUGUCAAAAGAAUAUUAAGAUAUUUGCAAGGUACCAAGGACUAUGGCAUCUAUUACAUAGCAGUAGAAGUUAGCAAGCAGAUAGGAUACACGGAUAAUGAUUGGGCCGGAUGUCAAGAUGACAUGAAAAGUACUUCAGGCUAUACAUUUUCUUUGGGAUCUGGAUUAUGUUUGUAGGCUUUUAAGAAGCAGAAGGUCAUGGCACUUUCUUCAGCAAAAGCAGAAUUUAUUACAGCAGCAAAGGGUGCAACCAAGUAAUUUGGAUACAAAGAGUUCUUGAAGAUAUUGGAAAGCAUCAAGAAGGGCCAACUACCAUCUAUUAUGACAGCAAAUCAGCAAUAGCCAUGAGCAAGAAUUCAGUUUGUCAUGACAGAACAAAGUAUAUUGCCAUCAAGUACCGCUUCAUUCUAGAAGCAGUUGAAGAUGGGGAGAUCGAGCUUCAGCACAUGAACACCUAAGAGCAGCUCGCGCACAUCUUCACCAAAGCUCUUUCUAAAAAAAGGUUUUUGUACUUAAGAACAAAAAUAAGAGUUGUAAAACGAAGUGAAUUAAAGUGGAGUGUUAGAAAGUAAUCCACUUCCUUUUGAGCAGCUCACAUGGGCUAUAGUAGAAAAGCCCACAUGAGCUUAAGUGGCAAAAGCUCACAUGGGCCAAGAUUCUAGAUAGUUUCAAAGAAAUACUAAGCAUUAUAAAAUAUCUAUACCAUAAUAUCUAGACUUAUCUAGGGAAUCUUGUAUCUAAAAUCUUCUUGGACUUCUAUAAAUAGGAGGGCUCCUUUCCAUUUGUAAUCAAGAAGUUUGAGAGAAAGUAAUAGAAGUCCAAGUUCUCUUUUACUAUUCUUCCACAUUCUCCUUCUCUUCACAAUCAUCCCUACAAACUUUUCUCCACUUUACUACAAAACAACUAAUCCUUUGCCCCAAUCCAAGAUCUUCUACUUCUAUAUCAAUUAUCUGUCUCUUACAGUGAGGAAGCUUCGAAUCAAGUUCGAAGCUUUUGUUGUGGAAAUGGGCCAAAGCAUGUGGAUAAUGCAUUAAGACUCAGCCCAAUGCUUGAUCUUGUCCACAUAUAGAAAAUACUCGUCGCGAGUUUUCACAAAAAUGAAAUAAAAUAGAAUAAAAUAAAAUAAAUUAAAAUACAGUAAGAAACAGGUAAAAGGAAAAGAAUGAGUUUAGGUUGGAACUGCACUGAUUUGGUUGGUUCCAUUUCUGACUCACUUGGGUAUCCAAACUUGCGUAAUCCCAAGAUGCGUUAUUAUUUACCAAGGCCCUAUCCAAUAUUGGAAGUAACUAGUUUUGUUCAUACAACUGUAAAAGUUUGCUUUAUUUCUUUAGGCAUGGUGUUGACAUUUGCGAGUGAUAUGGAGGUUUUAACCUCUUGCUUCUCCUCUAAACUAGGUAAGUUGAUCGGUGUCCCAUUAGCACUUUAAAGAGAUGCUUCUGAUAAAAAUCAUAUCUUGAAGAUCUCGGUAUCCAAUUAAGCAGAUAUGAGUAGCUAUGAUGAAAAUCUCGGUAUUCAAUUAAGCAGAUAUGGGCAGUCAUAAUGAAGAUUAUAUGUUGAUUCUCUUGACAUCAUAUUAGGCAAACAUGGGUAGCUAUACAAUCUCAUAUGAUGGAAAUCAUUCUUUGAUUUUUCUGGCCAAUCAUGCAACUAGAAUUAGCAGAUAGGACCAAUCCCAUGAGAAUGAAACCAUUCCUGAUUUUGCUAACUAUGUAUAUAUUUGUAAAGAUUUUCAUUAUAUGGAUAAUAUCAUUCCUUUGAUGUAAAGGCAUUGAUUCCUUUGAUGUAGGGAUUUUAACCCCAGCAGUUGUAUAUAAGCAUGCAAGUUAUUAUAGCUAAUGAAAUUAAGCCUUUUGGGCACAAAUUCCUUCCUCAAUAAUUUUGUCUAUAAAUUUCUAUCUUAACAUGGUAUUAGAGCCAGGUUGCAAUCUUGGGACCUAUAGGUUACGGGCCCACCAUGCUUCCACUGUGCAAUUUUGAUCAUCUUCGUGUAUUUGGUUGCUUAUGUUAUGCACAUAACUAUGCAAGGUCAUGCACUAAAUUUGAUUUUAGAGCCAUUCGAUGUAUAUUUCUUGGUUACCCAUAUGGACAAAAAGGAUAUCAUGUUUAUGAUCUUGAAAGUCACAAUAUCUUUGUCUCGUGAGAUAUAGUGUUUUAUGAACAUAUUUUUUCAUAUUGCUCUUCUUCCAUAGUCGAGUCAGUGUGCAAUAGCCAAAGAACCAAUUCGAUUAUUGCAUUAUCCAUUCUUGAUGAUCCACCAUCGAGCAUACCUACUGUCAAUCUCACAUUCGAACCUUCUACAUAUUCAAAUAAUUCAUCUGAAAUGCUUCCAACAGAGCCUCCUCCUAUUGAGCAGGAUCAAAUUUCUGAACUACAGUCCAUUAGAUCUAUUCGAACUCGACAAACACCUAUCCAUCGGAAAGAUUAUAUCUUUCACUUGCUACAUUCACUUGAUCCCUCACAGUCUGCCUCUCCAACAGCUCCUUCAGGUACUCUUUAUCCUCUCUCAAAUUUUAUUAUUAUGAUAAUUUUUUUCUUCGACAUUUAGCUUUCUUGGUGGCCAUCAAUUCUACUAAUGAGCCAAAGCAUUUUUCAUAGGCCAUUAAAAAUUCAAAGUGGCGUGAGGCUAUGGCAGCAAAGAUUGCAGCAUUAGAAAAAAAUCAGACAUAGACUUUGGUUGAUUUACUGUCUGAAAAGAGAGCCAUUGAUUCUAAAUAGGUGUAUCAUAUCAAGUAUAAAGCAGUUGGGUCAAUUGAUCACUAUAAGGCGUGAUCGGUUGCUAAAGGUUAUACCCAAGUUGAAGGUCUUGACUACCAUGAGAUGUUUGCACCUAUGGCCAAAUUAGUUAUUAUACAUUGUUUGUUGGCAGUAGCAGCUGUUCGUAAAUGAGAACUAUACCAACUGGACGUCAAUAACGCCUUCUUGCAAAGUCAUUUGCGUGAAGAGAUUUUCAUGUGCAUUCCUCAAGGUUUUACCCGCUCAGGUGAUACAUGUGUUUGCAAAUUGAACAAGUCUUUAAAUUGUAUAGAUUCAAACAAACAUCUCGUAAUGGGUUUGAAAAAUCCACCUCCUCUAUUGUCUAGUUAGAUUUUAAGUAGUCCAAGGCCGAUUACUCCUUGUUCACUCAUGCUCAUGGUGAAAGUAUAGUUCUCAUCUUAAUCUAUGUGGAUGAUAUCAUUCUUGUCGGAAAUGAUUCCAUUUGUAUCUCUUCUAUUAAGACUUAUCUGUUCUCACAGUUUCAUAUCAAAGAUCUAGGCCCAUUAAAAUAUUUUUUGGGAAUUAAAGUUGCCAGAUCGUCGGAUGGUAUUGUGCUCAAGCAAAGAAAAUAUGCACUUGACAUUCUCUUUGAGACGGGCAUGCUAGGAGUCAAGCCAUGUGCAUUUCCAAUGGAACAACAUCAUUCUUUAUCCAGUGCUAUUAGUCCAAAGGUGGUUGAUCCUUCUCUAUACAGGCGCUUAACUGGCAAGCUAAUCUACUUGAUAAUUACUCGUCCAGAUCUAUGUUAUUCGGUUCAUGUUCUUAGUGAAUUCAUGCAUAAUCCCCUUCAGCCACACCUUGAUGCUGCCGUGUGAAUUCUUCGCUAUCUCAAAACGGCAUCAGAACAAGAUAUAUUUCUUUCUGCAUCUAGUGAAUUAUCCUUAGUCGCUUUUUAUGACUCUGAUUGGGUGAGUUAUCCUACUAUCCAUCGCUCCACCACUUGGGUAUUUUUCACUUUUCUGAAAAACUAAGAAGCAAAGUACAAUCUCAUAUUCUUCCACUAAAACUGAAUAUAGAGCUAUGUCUACUGCUACUAGUGAGCUUCUUUAGCUUCAAGCUUUUCUUUUUGAUUUGUAUGUUUCUCUUACACAUCCCAUGCAGCUUUAUUGUGACAACCAAGUAGCUCUCCACAUUGUUUCCAAUCCGAUUUUUCAUAAACGAACCAAGUAUAUUGAAAUUGACUGCCAUUUUGUCCAUGAACGGAUCCAAUCCAAUGAACUCAUUACUUACUACAUUCCUACCAAACAACAACUAGCAGAUAUCUUUACCAAGGUGCUUGGAAAGGAUCGAUUUCAUCAUCUCUUAUCCAAAUUGGGCAUUUUUUAUCUCCAUGCUCCAACUUGAGAGGGAGCGAUGAAAAUCAUAUCUUGAAGAUCUUAGUAUCCAAUUAAACAGAUAUGGACAACUAUCAUGAAGAUCUCGAUAUCCAAAUAAGCAAAUAUGGGUAGCUAUAAUGAAGAUCAUAUAUUGAUUCUCUCGACAUCAUAUUAGGCAAAUAUGGGUAGCUAUACAAUCUUAUAUGGUGAAAAUUAUUUUUUGAUUUUUUUGGCCAACCAUGCAACCAGAUUUAGCAGAUAGCACCAUUCCAUGAGAAUGAAAUCGUUCCUAAUUUUGCUAACUAUGUACAUUUGUGAAGAUUUUCAUUAUGUGGAUCAUAUUAUUUUUUUGAUGUAAAGAUAUUGAUUCCUUUGAUGUAGGGAUUUUGAUCCUAUAAGAUGUAUAUAUAAGCAUGCUAUCAUAGCUAAUGAAAUUAAGUCCUUUGGCCAUAAAUUUUUUCAAUAACUUUGCCCAUAGAUUUCUUUCUUAAUAGCUUUCGGGUAUGAUAUAUAGUGGCCUGGCAUGACAUAAGUGGCAUUGCUGGGCUUUUGCCUUUUUAUAUCCUCAGAAUAUAAGGCCCCAACAAGUAGUCGUGUGAUUGCCUUCUGAUAAGCAAAAGGGAUCAUAUGUGUUAGAUGUGGCCCUAGAAGUCAAUUAUUAGCUGAUAUAUUUAUAUUUUUAGGAUCUGUGCUUAUACUUGUAAAACUUUAUUAUUAAUAAAAGGGUAAUUUCAUUUUCAAUCAUAUUUAUGUAUCCAUGAUUUAUCUUAAAAAUUAACAAAAAUAAUUUUAUAUAUUCUCAAGAUGUUAAAAAUUUAAAACAUACAUUAUUAGUGGUUAGUUUUUAAAUACUCUCAAUCAUAGAAUCGUCACGGAGAAUAGUGAUCAAUUAAUUUAAGAUCAGUGUACAGAUCAUUUUUCUUUCAAGCAGAUGAGUCUUGAGUCUAUGGUAUGGUGAUACUAGGAUAAGAGUACAGGUAGUUGUUAGAGAAUAACUUAUACUGAGCGUGACCAACAUAAAAAAUCUCUUGAAUGUCUAUUCAUUCGUCAGUAUUUUUUUCAAUGCUGCAAUGGUGUGAGUGGUUCUUUGACCUACGGUGUCAUCAGCUAUUCACAGCGAGGCUACUGAGUUUGACUGCAUAUUUUCUUGAUUCCUAGCCAUUCGGAUCCAUACUAUGUAUAUUAGCUACAGUAGGUUCAUGUUCGUUAUUAGAAUAGGAUGCAUCUAGAUGGAAUCUAUCAAUCUUGGUAGAAAAGGAGUGGUCCUAUACGAUUAGCAAGACUGAGUUCAAAAAGUCUUCGAUCGAAGCAAGUGUGAAUACUAAAAAAAAUUUUUCAUGAGAUUCACAAGUGAACUCGAGUUGAGCUAAUCUAGUAUAUGACUAAUGAUGGAGUUUGACGAGUUCUCUAUGACCUCCAUCAAGUCGGAGACUCAUGAUAGAGGGAUUGAAUCACACGAUAAUUGUACCUAAAAAUUUUAAUUUUUUUGUUCUACUAGAUUGUCACUAUAUGCUACUAGGUGUCAUAAGUAGAUUGUGAAAACUCACUAGAAUUAUUAUCGGAUCAACGAUCUUUGUUGGAUUGAGCUGGAAUUGCUCUGGUCUAUCGAAAAGAGUUUCGAUGAUACUAUGAUAGAGAUCACGGUAUGUCUUACUACUAGAUAGAAUAAAAUCUGAGGGGUCACACAUAAAAAAAAUUUGACCUGAUCAACAGUUUGGAUUAAAUUUGAAUUAUCAAUUUGAUUAAUAGUUUGAAUUUAAAAACUACUAAUUUGUAAGUAUUAUAGAUUCAAUAACUGCUAAUUGUUAGUAUUGAAACUUAAUUAUAAAUAUUAUAAUUUAAUUAAAAUUGAUUAAAUUAUAAAUUAAAUUUUAAUUAAUUUUAUUUUAAUUUAAUUUGAUUUAAUUUAAUGCUAAUUAGAUUUAAUUAUUCAAAUUAGAUUUAGAUUUCAAUUCUGAUUGGAUCAAGUUUGACAGCCUUUCGAAUUUGGUUCGAUUCGGACUCAACUUGGACUCGAUUUAGAUCCAAUUUAAAUCAAAUUGAUUCUGACCCUUAGAGCCCAGGUUCUCUGGGCAUCUUUCUCUAUUUGAUCAAUUAGAAAUAGGAUGGGGUGAUGAAAAUUCUCACUGAUUUUCUUUGGCAUGCAUGAAAGGGUGUGGAGAGGUGGUUUCUUGAUGUUUCUUGGUUAGUUAGGACUCUUAUCUAGAUAAGAGAUAAAGCUUAACUAACCCAUCUAAUCUCUGUCUAAUUUUUGGCAUAGAAUAUUAAAAGUUUUGUGCGAUAAAAUAGGUUAGUCUUUGCAUGAGGCAGCGAUCCCUUCUUUGUGUGCACCAAUAACUACCUCACGCCCCCUUCUUCCUCUACGCCAACCACCUAUCAUCCCUUCUCUUCUGCACCCCUAUUCCACAUCAGAUAGAGAUCUGAAAGAGAGCCUCUGAGAGAGAGAAAGAAAAUCAAGAUAAAAUUUUUUGAUUUUUCUUGGUGGUUAGGAUUAAUCCCUAUGAUCCUAUAUAGGGCUGCUUCAAGUGAUAUCAAGUAAAGUGACCUGGUUCAAGUCAAAGAACGAAACCUACAAGAUAGCUAGCACCUCGAGAGUUUUGAAGUUCUGAUCGAGACAUCUUUAUGUGGAUACCAGUAGAGUUCGGGUGCUUGCAUGGCUACGACAGGAAUUCAAAACAUCCGCAUGAUCCGAUCCGAGGAAGGAGGAGAGAAAAGUGAUUAGGUAUACCAUCUUCUUGCUAUUUAUGAUUUCAGAUCUGUAUUCAUAAAUUUAUUUAUAUAUGUUAGACGAUCCUAGAGUUGAUUAUGAUUUAGAUUCAGCAUGCUUAGAUCAAAUUAAAAUUUUUAAAAUCUGCUUCCGCUAUGGUACUGUAACCAUAAUGAUCUAUGCAUGCGAAUCAACCUGUUUUCUAUUAGUGGUAUCAGAGCCACGUCGUUCUAGCAUAUUUUAAAUAAAUUUUAGAUCUAAAAUUGCAUUCAUAUGGUCUGAUUUAUAGUUUAUAUAUUUGAUAUGUGAAAAAAAGUCUAGUCUGAAUUUAAUAGAUUACAUAUUAGAUAUGUUAGAUUAAAUUCCUAUUAGCCUAAUACUUAGAUUGGGUGCAUCACCAUGGCUGUCUAGUAAUAAGAGGAAGCAGGGGUUAAAGCUUCUCACUUGUCCAAUUGAUGGGUUCUCUUAUGACGUAUAGGGAUGCUAUUUGUAAUGAUCUUCCAUGAAGAAGAACCAUGAUCUAAAGAUCCUAGAUAUAUAUGAUACAAGUUUUAGAUCUAGGUUUUAUUUUCAUGCAUAUAUUAGAUACAUGUUUUUGAGUAAUUUUAGAUUGUAAAAUUAUAUAUGUGAUAUGUAGUUUGUUGACACAUGAUCUAAAAUUUAAUUUUUGCAAAAUCUUAGAUCUGAAACCCUAGGAUCUAAUUUGUAUGAAAACCUAAAUUUGUGACUGGCUUGCCUGUCGAGUCAGCUCGGAUUCAGAUCGAGUUGACUCGAGUCCUUAUCAAGUCGACUCAUCCUUGUUAGAGUCAAUUCGAGAUCCUGGUGAGUCGGCUCAUUUGCAUAUGAGUCAACUCAAUCUUACAGGCAUGAGCUUACAGUUUUUGUUUGUCACAGACGAGUCGACCCAAGUUUCAGGGCGAAUCGAUCUGAGUCUGUUGACAGCAAAGUUGCAUGUGAUGCAAUCUAAAUUAAUUUAGAUUAGAAAUUAAUUUGAUAUCUAAAAUAAAUCUAUGUUCAUAAUGCACUUAAUUAAGAAUUAAGACUUGAAAUUAAAAGAUCUAAAGUUUAAAUUUAAGAUCUAAAUUUUAAUUACAUAAAACAUGGGGUUAAGGGUAUAGGUAGCUCAAUUAGGUCUAGUUUGAGCAGCUGAUCAAAUCGAAUCAAAUAUUGAUUAGGAGUAGGUCAAAUAUGCUCAUGACCAAUUCAAUUAGUUGUAGUUUGGUCGAAUCGAUUAAUAGCCAUAUGUUACCGAUUAACUUAAAAUCUAGUUUGGCUCAGUGGAUCGAGCCCGGAUUAAUAGGCAAAUCUAAUCGAUUCUAAUCAACCAAUUUGGUGUCUAUAACAAAUACAUAGAUUGUGGUUAUUUAAUUAAUUUUGUUAUCUGAUCUGACCAAUUCGUUAGUGUCUAAAAAAAGUAAUGGGAGACCCCCACACAUCUUAACGUACUUGGCUAUUUUGGAAGAUUAUAUUUCGUAUUAGGCUACUUGUUGACUCGAGCUAGUCUAUAUCACUAGGUUAAUCAUAACCGUUAUAACUAAUUAAGGAAGAGACCUAGACCUAAAUCUUCUCAAUCAAAUAUUAAGUCUAGCGAUUUUCCACCAUUGUAGAGAUGCGGGUGCCUUUCUGGAGUUCGUCAUUCUCAGCUGGUCACAGUGGUUCGAUUGUAUCGAAAAGAUAAAAUCACUCUAUGACAUUGGAUGCUCCACGGUAAAGAUAGGGUUGGAUCCAAUAACUAUUAGGUGAGGGAUCCAAUGAUGGCUUUGCAUUCGUUGGUGUAUGGUGGGUCUAACUUAGUUAACAAAUGUGCUAAUAACUGUCAGGUGUGGCUACAGAACAUAGAGACCGAAUCUACUGUAUUUUGCUUAGUGAAGCAAUGGACAAUGUAUUGUCCACUCAUUAGUCAUGCGUCACCAAUAACUGUUAAGUGAGAUGCACAUGGAUCAGUGGAAACGUAGUAUCCAUUAAAAACUAAUUGUGUAUAGAUUUCUGUUUCUCCAUCCAAGAAGUAUAAAAGAUUCAUAGAAAUAGUGGAAAUCUUGUUUGUUUAUUAAAGUCCCUAUAACAAAUAUUUACAAGUAUAAAUAUCUAAUUAAAAAUUAUUUUCUCUCAGCAGUUAAUUAACCAUGUCGAGUUCAAAUCCUCUAGCUUGAAUCUUUGACAUCAAUAGGUUGACCGAAUUGAACUACAAAGACUGGUUUCAGAACUUGAAAAUUAUUCUCAGCUUUGAGAAAUUGAUCCAUAUCCUAGAUCAGGAGAUGCCUGUAUUGCCGACUCACCCAUCCCCUCAUCAACGAGCUACACUUGACAAAUGAAUGGACGAAGAUAAUAGGGCUAGGAGCUAUAUUCUUACGUCCAUGUCCAAUAAUUUUCAACAUCUGCAUGAAGACAUGAGGACUGUCAGACAAAUUCUGACUAACCUACAAGAGUUGUAUGGUGAGUAGAGUCGUAUGGCUUGCUUAGAAGUCUCCUGCAGAUUUUUCAGAGUGAAAAUACAUGAUGGGUAGUCUGUGCACGAUCAUUAUCUGACAAUGAUCAAAGAUAUUGAAGAGCUUCAGAAGCUCGAAAUGAAUAUGGAUAAGGAACUACACGUAGAUUUGAUCAUGCAGUCCCUUCUUGAUUCGUAUGGUCAGUUCAUCAUAAACUACUAUAUGAAUAAGAUUGAUAGUACCUUAUCGGAGUUAUUGAAUAUGUUGGUGACAGCUGAGAGCAUCUUGAAAAGUUUAAGAAGAAUAAUUCUUACUGUGGAGCAAGCUUCUUCCAAAAAAAAGUCUACUGGAAAGAAGAAAAAGAACAAAAGCCUGUGAAGAAGCAAAAGAUCGAGAGUGGGAAGAAGAAAAAAACUCUAAAGAAAGCCAGCGAUAAGGAAAAAUAUUUUCACUAUAAUGUCGAAGGUCACUGGAGAAGAAUUGUCUUGCAUAUCUAGCCACAGUGAAGAAUAAGAAGAAGGAUGUGCCUUCUGAAGUUAUGCUUGAAUUGCUCGUUAUUAAAACUAAUCUAACGAUUUUCUCUUCUUCUAGUUGGAUUUUAGAUUCUGAUUCGAGUGCUCACUUGUGUACUUCAAUGCAGGGUCUAGAGAAAAUUAGAGGAUUGAGAGAAGGUGAGAUCACUCUCUAAGUCAGUAAUGGAGCAAAAAUUAUUGUUGUGGCCGUCGGGACUUACUCUUUGAAGCUACCGUUAGGAUAUAGUUUACUUUUGAAAAAUUAUUAUUUUAUACUUGUAGUCAGUAGAAAUUUGAUUUUCAUUUCUAUGCUGGUAUAGGAUAAUUAUAAUUUUUAUUUUAAUAAAGAUGUGUGUUCAAUUUAUUUUAAAAAUAAAAUUAUCACGUGUACUUAUUUGAUAGACAGUCUUUAUCAUUUGCAUGUUGAUGCGAGUUUUAACCAUAACGAGCAAAUUAUGAGUACCGUAUGGUCUAAGAGAUCUAGAGAUAAAAUUAGUCAAAAGUAUCUAUGGCACCUUAGGCUAGGUCAUAUUGGAGAGGAUAGACUUAAUAAAUUAGAAAAAAAUGAUCUUAUCGGGCCAUUAACUUUCGAGUCAUAUUCAGUUUGUGGGUCCUAUCUUCAAAGAAAGAUGGCUAAGCUGGUCUUUGUAGGACAAGAAGAAAGGGCCACUGAUAUAUUAGCCCCGGUACAUAUUGAUAUGUGUAGUCCAUUCGAUGUACAGACUUGAGAUGAUUAUAUCUACUUCAUAAUCUUUACUGAUGAUUACUCAUGAUAUGAUUUUGUGAAUUUGAUGCACCAUAAGUCUGAGACUUUUAAAAAAUUCAAAAAGUUCAAACAUAAAGUAGAGAAGCAAACCAAUAAAUCCAUAAAGAUUUUUCAAUCAGAUCGAUGAGGCGAAUAUCUUAGUAAAAAAUUUUGGAUCUAUCUUAAGGACAACGGUAUAGUCUCACAGUAGAUACCUCUAAGGAUGCCUCAGCUCAAUGAGGUAUCUGAAAGGAGGAAUCGGAUCUUAUUGGAUAUGAUCCGAUCUAUAAUGAGCUUUACAAAUUUUUUAAUUUUUCUCUGAAGAUAUACGUUACUUUCUGCUAUUCACCUUAUAAAUAGAAAUUUCUCUAAAUUCGUUUCUACCACACCAUACGAGUUAUGGUAUGGUAAAAAAUCGAGUCUUAGUUAUCUCAAGAUUUAAAAAUGUUCGAUCCAUGUCAAGCGACAGCAGGCGAACAAGUUAGAGGUUAGGUCACUUAAGACUCAUUUUAUAAGGUAUCCUAAAGAAUUCAUGAUGUACUAUUUCUAUCUUUCAGAUAAUCAUAAUGUGAUUAUGAGCCGUCAUGCCAUCUUCUUGAAAAAAGAGUUUAUUUAAGAUGAAGGCAGUGGGAGGAAGAUUGAGUUCGAAGAGAAGAUCUCUGAAGAGCAUCGAAUCCAAAAAUCUGAACCCAUUAGUGAGCCAGUUGAUGUGGUACCUCCUCCAUCUCAUAGAUCUAGUAGGAUCUUCCGUCCUCUCAAAAGGUACUUAAGUAUUUUUACAGAGGAUCUAGAGAAAGCAUUCUUUGUGGAAGAUAGUGAUAUUAGGAAUAAUCUUAAGACCUAUAAAGAAGUGAUGAUAGAUGUAGACUUCGAGAAAUAGAUGGAAGUGAUAAAGUCAGAAAUUGACUCCAUACAUUCCAACCAGAUUUGAAUUUUAGUAGAUCCAUCUGAGGGUAUUGUACCUAUUGGGUAUAAAUGGAUUUACAAAAAAAAAGAUCGGAUGAUCAGGUAGAGACCUAUCAGGCAAGGCUGGUAGCGAAAAUAUACAGUCAACGUAAAGAUAUUGACUAUCAAAAAAAAUUUUCAUCAGUAGCUAUGCUGAAAUCCAUCCGGACUCUGCUUGCUGCUGCAGCUUAUUACGAUUAUAAAAUUUGACAAAUGGAUGUGAAAACUGCCUUCCUAAAUGGAUAUCUUGAGAAAGAUAUCUAUGUAGAGCAGACUAUAAGUUUUACAUCCAAUGAUAGCGAUCACAAAGUCUGCAAGCUGUAAAGAUCUAUUUAUGCACUUAAGCAAGCAUCUCGAAGUUAAAAUUCCUACUUUAAUGAUGUGAUUAAAUUAUUUGAUUUCAUCAGAAAUGAGGAGCCGUAUAUAUAUAAAAAAGUCAGUGAGAGCACUGUCAUAUUCUUCGUAUUAUAUGUGGAUGACAUCCUUCUGAUUGAGAAUGAUAUUCCCAUGCUGACCUUGAUCAAAGUAUGAUUAUCAAAGAAAUUCUCUAUGAAAGAUCUGGAAAAAGCUUCCUACAUUCUUGGCAUAAAGAUCUAUAGGGAUAGAUCUAAGAGAAUGAUAGGACUUUCUUAAAAAAUAUACAUAGAGGAGGUGCUGAAGAGGUUCAGCAUGAAAAAUUCUAAGAGGAGUUUCUUGCCUUUAGGCAUGGCAUUUAUCUCUCUAAAAAGAUAUGUCCUGAUACACCUAAGGAGAUCCAACGCAUAAGCAAAAUCUUUUAUGCUUCGACAAUAGGGAGCUUCAUGUAUGUCAUGCUGUGUACUCAACCUGAUAUAGCACUUGUCGUGAAUGUCACGAGCAGAUAUCAGUCGAAUUUAGGUGAGGAGCACUGGAUUGCAAUUAAUAACAUUCUUAAGUACUUGAGAAGGACGAAGAAUUUAUUCUUGAUUUUUGAUGGAGGAUCGGAGCUGAAAGUUGAAGGAUACAUCGAUUCAAGCUUUAUGUCUAAUAUCGAUGAUAGAAAGUCUAUAUCGGAGUGUAUUUUUUUAUGUAAUGAUGGAUUGAUUAGUUGAAAGAGUUUCAAACAGUCGGUCAUUACUGAUUCGACCAUGAAAGCCGAAUACAUCGCCGCCUCUAAAGCUGCUAAGGAAGCAUACUGGCAUAAGAAGUUCGUUGCAGAGCUGGGUGUGAUACCAUCGGAUGCCAUUUCACUGCACUAUGAUAACAAUGGUGCCAUAGCACUCGCUAAGAAGAUCAAGUCUCACUAGAAGUCCAAGUAUAUAGAAUAGUGGUUCUAUAUCAUACGCGACUACCUCGAGAAGAAGUUCGUCGAAGUGCAGAGAGUCGACUCCAUACAGAACAUGACAGACCUGCUGACGAAGUCUCUUAGCCUGCAAAAGAUCGAAGCUCACCUUGAGAAGAUAAAUCUUAGGUAUAUGGUCAAUUGGCUUUAUGUCAAGUGAAAGUUUGUUAGAUGUGUGUCCUAGAAGUCAAUUGUUGGUUGACAUAUUUAUAUUUUCAGGGCCUACUCUUGUACUUGUAAAAUUUUAGUAUUAAUAAAAAGAUAUUUUUAUUUUCAAUCAUAUUUAUGUGUCCAUGAUUUAUCCUAAAAAUUAAUGAAAAUAAUUUUGUAUAUUCUCAAGGUAUUGAGAAUUUGAGACAUAAUUAUUAGUGGUUAGUUUCUAAAUACUUUUGAUCAUAGGAUCAUCACGGAGGAUAGUGAUCAAUCCAUUUAAGAUUGAUAUAUGGAUCACUUCCCUUUCAGACAGAUGAGUCUUGAGUCUAUGGUGUGGUGACACUAGAUGAGAGUGCAGGUGGUUGUUAGAGAACAACUUACACUGAGCGUGACCAAUAUGAGAAACUAUUUGAAUGUAUACUCACUCGUCAGUGGUCUUCUAGAUGCUGCAGUGGUGUGAGUGAUCUUUUGACCUGUAGUGUCAUCGGUUAUUCACAGCGAGGCUAUUAAGUUUGACUGCACAUUUUCUUGGUCCCUAGUCAUUUGGAUCCUUACUGUGUAUGUUAGCUACAGUAGGUUCAGAUUCACUAUUAGAGUAUGAUGCACUUUGAUGGAAUCUAUCGACUUCGAUAGAAAAGGAGUAGUCCUAUGCGAUUAGCAAGACUGAGUUCAGAAAGUCUUUGAUCAAAGUAAAUGUGAAUACUGGAAAAGAGUUUCCACAUGAUUCACAAGUGAAUUCAAGUUGAACCAAUCUGACAUAUGACUGACAAUAAGAUUUGAUGAGUUCUCCAUGAUCUCUGUCAAGUCGGGAUUCAUAAUAGAGGGAUUGAAUCACACAAUAACUGCACUUAGGGGUUCAAAUUUUUUUAUUCUACUGGGUUGCCACUACAUGCUGCUAGGCAUCACUAGUGGAUUGUGAGAACUCACUUAGAUUAUUUUUGAAUCAACGAUCCUUGUUGGGUUGAGCUGAAAUUAUUCUGGUCCAUCGAAAGAAGUUUUGAUGAUACUGUGAUAGAAAUCACGAUAUGUAUUACUAUCAGAUAGAAUAGAACCUGAGGGAUCACACACAAAAAGAGUUUAAUCUGAUCAACAGUUUGGAUCAAAUUUGAAUUAUCAAUUUGAUAGAUGAUUUGAAUUUGAAAACUGCUAAUUUGUAAAUGUUAUAAAUUUAGUAACUACUAAUUUUUAGUAUAGAAAUUUAAUUAUAAAUAUUAUAAUUUAAUUAAGAUAGAUUAAAUUAUGAAUCAAAUCUUAAUUAAUUUAAAUUAGAUUUAUUUUAAUUAGAUUUGAUUUAAUUUAAUGCUAAUUGGGUUCAAUUAUCCAAAUCAGAUUUGGAUUUUGAUCCUGAUUGGAUCAAGUUUGACAGCUUUUCGAAUUCGAUUCGAUUCGGACUCAAUUGGUACUUGAUUUGGAUCCAAUUUGAAUCAAAUUGAUCCUAACCCUUAAAACCCAGUUCUCUGGGCUUCUGUCUCCAUUUGGCCGAUCAAAAAUAGGAUGAGGCGAUGAAAAUUCUUGCUGAUUUUCUUUGGCACGCAUGAAGGGGUGUGGAGAGAUGGUUUCUUGAUGUUUCUUGAUUAGUUAGGACUCUUAUCUAGAUAAGAGAUAAAGCCUAACUAACCGAUCUAAUCCCUAUCUGAUUUUUGGUGCGAAAUAUUAAAAGUUUUGCACGGCAAAAUUAUAAGAAGGGAUUGGUUUUUGCGUGAGGCAGCGAUCCCUUCUUUGUGUGCGCCAAUAACUACCUCACGCCCCCUUCCUCCUCCAUGCCAACCACCUCUCAUCCCUUCUCUUCGGCACCCCUAUUCCACAUCAGAUAGAGAUCUGAGAGAUAGCCUUUGAGAGAGAGAGAGAGAGAAAGAAAAGCAAGAAAAGAUUUCUUGAUUUUUCUUGAUGGUUAGGAUCAAUCCUCAGGAUCUUAUAUAGGGUUGCUUCAAGUGAUAUCAAGUAAAGUGGUCUGAUUUAAGUCGAAGAAUGAAGCCUGCAUGAGAGCUAGCACCUCGAGAGUUUAGGAGUUUUGAUCGGGAUAUCUCUAUAUGGAUAUCAAUAAAAGCCGGGCGCUUGCAUGGCUACGAUAGAAAUUCAAAUAUCCGUAGGAUCCAAUCCGAAGAAGGAAGAGAAAAAAGUGAUCAGAUACACUAUCUUCUUGCUAUUUAUGAUUUCAAAUCUGUAUUCAUAAAUUUAUUUAUACAUUUUAGAUGAUCCUAAGAUUGAUUAUGAUUUAGAAUUAGCAUGUUUAGAUCAGAUUAAAAUUUUUAAAAUCUGCUUUCACCGUGGUUACUAUGAUCGUAACGAUUUAUGCAUGUGAAUCAGCUUGUUUUCUAAUAAUAUGGGCCUAGAUCGUUACUUAUGUAACGUACUGAAAUCACAAAGGCCUUCGUCAACUUUUUCAACAGGCUUUCAACAUUGCAGUAAUUUGCUCGAGAAAGCAACGCAUCCUUCCACAAGGUCUUUUGAAUUAUAAUAAUAGAAAUUCAAAGUAAAUAUUUUUUGACAAUUUAUAUUCAUAACAAGUAGAUAACUAUAUUUUUUAAAAAUAAAAAUAGUUUUUCUAAUAUGAAACUAUCUCGGGCCUAUUUCAGUUCUUUUUAAAUCUAGAACAAUUCUUGUCAAAUCUGAAAAGAUAGCAUUGUUGCCAUGAUUAUUGGUGCUAUCAAGUGACAUCAAACAUGAGAUGAAGCAUCGUUAAGCCAUAGAUGUUGGUUUUGAUCACGUUCCUACUUAUACCAUCAAAUCAAAAUCCCCUUGCACUCCAUUUCUUCCAUGUAAGCCAUCCCAUUCUUAUCUUAUUAAUUAUCUUCAAUUAAAUCUGGAUGGAUUGUGGGGCAUGGAAUAUAGAACACGAUGCAAGAUGGUUGCAUGUGUAUGAUCUAGGGAUUUCAUGUGCAUUUUUUAACAAAUUGGUCAAGUUAUUUAUUUUAAUCAACUCAUUAAAAAUUAAUUAAUAUGUAUGAACUUAGGUAUCUUAGUUAUUUCAUCUUUUUGCUUAUGUUGUUAAGUCGAAGAUAGAGGGUUGAAUUUUUUUAUAAUUUUUUUUAUAUUUUUACAUCAAUUUGAAAUUUUUAAACUUUUAGUAUCCAAACAUAAAGGGAUAAAAAUUCAAGAGGUGUUAUUAUAAUUUUUUUUUAAUUUAUUGUGUGUCUCUUUCGUCUCAAGAGCAUCUCAAGGACUUUUUGGAGUCAUAAUCGCAUCCAUAGACACCACAUUGACAAAGGUAAGCCACUACUUGGUGCUUUCUCCUUUAUUUUUUUUAAAAAAAAAAUAAUAUCCGAUCUAUUUAUGGACCAAAGUUCAAUUUUUAGUCUCUAUUGAUCCAACUUAUAACUUUCAGUCCAUUACAAAUGAAGCUUUAACUUUAAGUCUCUUAAUAAGACCAAAAUGCUAUCAAAUUGAAUACUCCUGUUCCGUGGCUUCUUUUCAGUUUUUUUCUUCUCGAUAAAAGCCUCGGGGAGAGCACAGCAAUGGCGCUCAGCACCCUCUUCCUGGUGCCUGAAUCUCCUCUUCUCCUCCCCAGCGAUCGCUCGUGAUGACCCCCCUCACCUCCCAGGCAAUCGCCCGCGAUAGCCUCCUCUCACCAUUUGGGCCGACGAUUUCAUAUUCUUUUUAUUUUGGGACGAAUGGAGGGGGUGGCCGGAGGUGGUGCGGGCAGCUAGACGAUCGAGAUAUGGUACCCGUGGCACGGAGCAACAGUAGGAGGGCGAUGCAGGUUGCCAGGGGCAACGCAGACGGGCGGUGCGGGUGGCCAGGGGGUAGCACCAGGGGCCACAGAGGGUCACCAUGUGGUACCGAAGGUGCGAUGAGGUGUGACGUACGCAAAGGAGCUUGAGGCCGUGGGAGGGGGGAGGGGGAAGUCUGUGGCGUGCGAGGGAACGAGAAGGAAGGAAAAAAAUAAAAAAUAAAAAUAAAAAUAAUACAAUAAUAAAAAUAAAUAUUAAACAAUAAUAAUCAUAUUUUAUUUAUUUCUUUAUUUAUAUUUUUAUAAUAUUUCUAGUGAGUCAUCCUUUCAAAAAAAUAUUUUAUAUAUUUUAUUUAUUUAUUUAUUUAUAUUUUUUAAAAUUAAUAAUUUAUUAAUAAAUAAUUUUUUUCAAAAAAUAGUUUUAAAAAUAAUUUCUAAAAAUACUUCUUUUUAAAAAUAAUUUUUAAAUAACUAAAAAUAAAAAAUAAAAUAAUAAAAUAAAAUAAAUUAUUUAAAAAUAAAUUAUUUUUUGUAAUAAAAAUNNNNNNNNNNNNNNNNNNNNAAUUAGAUUUUUAAAAUAAUAUAAAAUAUUAUUUUUUAAAAAAAUAAUUUUGAAAAAUAUGUGGGGAGCACUAGAGAGCGAUGGCCUAUGCUUUUAAAAUUAUUUUUUAAAUUAAUUUUUUUGACUAUAAUUUUUACCAUAAUUUUAAUUUAGUCAAUUUGAUGAGGAGUUGAUGUCAUAUAGAAGAGGUAUAAAUACAUCAUGUACCUUAGUCCAUGAUGAGUUUGAGUGUGCUCCCGUGGCUCUGUGUCAAACACCCACAACCCUCCUCCAGUGCCAAAGUCUGAGUUUGCUCCCUCGAUGAUUUCAAUAAUAAAUAAAAAUUAUUUUUUUAAAAUUAUUUUUAAAAAUAAUAAUAAAUUAACUAUGUGCAGUGUUAAAUUAAUGGUGUGCUGUGUUAAUUAAAUGAAUCCUACACAUAGUUAAUUUAACACUGCACACAGUUGAUUUAACUAUGUGCAGUGUUAAAUCAAGUGUGUGUAUGAUUUAUUUAACUAUGUACAGUGUUAAAUUAACUAUAUGUAAUGUUAAAUUAACUUUGUGCAGGGUUCAUUUAACUAUGUGCAGUGUUAAAUUAACUGUAUGCAAUGUUAAUUAAAUUAAUUAUGUGUAUGGUUCAUUUAACUGUGUGCAAUAUUAAAUUAAUUAUGUACAAAGUUAAUUUAACUGUGUGCAGUAUCAAAUUAAUUAUGUACAGAAUUAAAUAAACUAAUUAUGAUAUACAGUUUAAUUAAUAUGGUACAUAGUAAAUAAAUACUGUAUACAAUUAAAUUGAUACGGUAUACAGUUAACUAAACAUGGUACACAGUUUAAUUAACAUAGUACACAGUUAUUAAAUACGGUAUAAGUUAAAUGAAUACUAUACAUAGUUAAAUUAAUACGAUACAUAGUUAACUAAAUAUGGUAUAUAGUUAAAUUAAUAUGAUAUACAGUAAAUGAACACUAUACAUAAUUAAUUUAAUACUGCAUACAAUUAAUUUAAUGAUAUAUAUAGUUAAAUAAAUCCUGCACAUAGUUAAUUUAACACUGCAUAUAGUUAAUUUAAUACUACACACAGUUAAAUGAACCUUACACAUAGUUAUCGAAUUGUGUACAGUAUUAAAUUAACUGUGUACAGGAUUCAUUUAAUUAUGUGCAGUAUUAAAUUAACUAGAUGCAAGAUUUAUUUAACUAUGUGUAGUAUUAAAUUAACUAUAUACAACAUUAAAUUAACCGUGUGCAAGAUUUAUUUAACUAUGUGCAGUGUUAAAUUAACUAUGUAAAGAAUUCAUUUAACUAUAUGCAGUGUCAAAUUAAUUAUAUGCAGUAUUAAAUUAACUGUGUUCUGGAUUAAAUUAACUAGCUAUGAUAUACAGUUUAAUUAAUAUGGUAUAUGAUAAAUGAAUACUAUAUACAGUUAAAUUAAUACGGUACAUAGUUAACUAAAUAUAGUACAUAGUUAAAUUAACACAAUACACAGUUAAUUAAACAUGGUAUAUAGUUAAAUAAAUACUAUACACAGUUAAAUUAACACGGUACAUAGUAACUAAAUAUGGUAUAUAGUUAAAUUAAUACGGUAUACAUUAAAUAAAUAUUAUACAUAGUUAAAUAAAUAUAGUAUAUAGUUAAUUUAACACUACACACAGUUAAUUUAAUACUGUAUACGGUUAAAUAAACCCUGCACACACUUAAUUUAACAAUGUACACAGUCAAUUUAACACUGUAUACAGUUAAUUUAACACUGUAUAUAGUUAAAUGAACCCUAUACAUAGUUAAUUUAACACUGCACACAAUUGAUUUAACUGUGUGUAAUGUUAAAUUAACUAUGUACAGGGUUCAUUUAACUAUAUGCAGUACCAAAUUGACUGUGUGCAGUGUUAAAUUAACUAUAUACAUGAUUCAUUUAAUUAUGUAUAGUAUUAAAUUAACUAUGUGCAAUGUUAAAGUAACUGUGUAUAAUGUUAACUUAACUAUGUGCAAAAUUUAUUUAAUUAUAUGUAAUAUUAAAUUAACUGUGUAUAUUAUUAAAUUAACUAUGUAUCGUGUUCAUUUAACUGUGUACAGUAUUCAUUUACUGUGUCCCAUAUUAAUUUAACUGUGUAUCAUAUUUAGUUAACUAUAUACUAUAUUAAUUUAACUGUGUAUAGUAUUCAUUUAACUGUGUACUAUAUUUAACUAAUUAUGCACUAUGUUAAUUUAAUUGUAUAUCAUAUUUAGUUAACUGUAUACUGUAUUAAUUUAACUGUGUACAGUGUUCAUUUACUAUGCACCAUAUUAAUUAAACUGUGUAUCAUAAUUAGUUAACUAUGCAUUAUGUUAAUUUAACGAUCGUUUCAUCUGGUGAACAAGUGACUAUAAAGAAUAAUUUAAAUUUUAUAAUAUUUUAUUUUAUAAAAAUCGAUUGCAAAAUCGAUCAUUAAAAUCGAUAAUAUAAUCGAUUGCUAAAUUUAUUAAAAUAUUUUUUUAAUAAAUCGAUCGUAAAAAUAAUUACUAAUUAUUUUUAAAUUUUUUACUAAUAAAAUUGAUCACAAAAUCGAUCAAUAAUUAUUCUUAAUUUUUAAAUUAAUUUAUUGGUCAUAAUAUCGAUUGCUAAUUUUGUUAAAAUAUUUUUUUAUUAAUAAAAUCGAUUGUAAAAUCAGUAGCUAAUUAUUUUUUAAUUUUUUAAUUAAAAAAUCGAUCGCAAAAUCAGAUGCAAUUUAUUUUUAUAAUAUUUUAAUUUUUCAAAAUCGAUUGCAAAACCAAUCAAAUUUUUAUUUUAUAUUUUUCUUAUGCUUAUAUUAUUUUUUUAUUAUAUUAUUUUUAUUUGUUAUAUUUUUUUUUAUUAUUGAAAAUAUUUUUUAUUUUUUUAUAUUAUUUUUUAUAUAUUAUAUAUUUUUAUUAUUUAUUAUAUUUUUAAUUUUUUUAUAUAUUUUAUUAUUUAAAAUAAAAUCUCAUUCGAUCCGUGGAGCGAGGCAUGGAUCGAAGGGCGUUUCCAGUCCGUUUCUCAUGUUUCAUGAUCCUCUCUGUGGACCGACAAAGGCUGAUGCCGGUGACAACGGAGAGCACGGCGAAUGGAGGCCAUCGCGGGCGGUUGCUGAAGAGGGAAAGAGGGGUUCGAGCAUUAGGGAGGGGGGCCGUCGCAUCGUGGGCCGACGAAGAAGGCCAUCGCGGGCGGUCGUCGAGGAGGGGGGGCCAUCGUAGGCGAGGAGAGAGUCCGUCACAGUCGGUCGUUGGAGAGGGGAAGAGGGAUUUCGAGCACCUGGAAGGGGAGGAGGGCCAUCACAUCACGGGCUUGUGAGGGGAGGCCAUCGCGGGCAGUCGUCGGGAAUGGGAAGGCGGGCCAAGGAGGGGAGAAGAUAGGGUUCGGAUGCAGCACCAAUUGGGAGUCUUUCUUCGUCUUGUCUUCUUUUUUUUUUUUGACUGUCUGAUGGGGUUUGGGAUUUGAAAGGGUAUUAUUUAAAGCCAUCUCGUAUCAAAAUUAUUAAGGCACGGUAAGUGGGACCGAGAGCUACAGUUUUGAUCAAUAGAGAGUUUUUGUUAUAGCGGCAUCAAUCGAGGGAUCGGUAUUUUUUUUUUUCUUCUCCCAUUUUGCAGACAUUCUUUAGCCUUUAUUGCUUGGCCGGUAGAUGGAUGCAUAUACUCCUAGCUCCUCGCCUUUCUGAUGCAAUUCCAUUUCAAAAAUGAUAGGCGUCCUUCAUGUGUUUCGAAAUCUUGGUCUCAUGAUCUCUUAUCCAGCUAUCAGCCCUCAUUAGCACUGAAAUAGCAUGGGCAGGACGGAGCUGGCCGACCUUACGUGGCUUUUUUUACAUUAGUUUGGCAAAUGGACCAAACCUCUCUUAGGACAAAGAAACUUUUUAUUUCCAAGUUGUUGCCAGCUCAUGUAGCUUAAGCACAUGGUAAAUUUUAAUAGACCCAAAAGAACUUGAUAGAGAAUCUGUUUACAUUUUAAACCAACCUCCCUGGAUUUGGAGCAAUUAGGCAGCGCAGGUGAGGGCUGUGAAAAAUUGUCCGGUUAUAAUGCAGAUAAUUUGCACUCAAUUUUUAGGCAUCUUUAGAUAGUUCUAGGAGGUCCAUCCAAAUUAGUAGCUAUAAGCGAAGUGCAGCAAUUUGAUUCAGGUUGUAUCUUUCGGAUGAAAGAAUAAUUGAUAUUGUUCCUUCGUAGAUCGCAUAGAUCUCUUUUUUUUUAUGAAAUCACCUCACAUAGAUCUUACGGUGCUCUGAAUUUUUUUCAUCCACUUAUGCAAUGCUUGAAGUAGCUAGCUAUUGUGUGAUCUAAUAAUUGACAUCACGAAAUAAGGUGGAUCUGUCUUUCUCAUUCGCAUUGAGGAUUUUGCAUGUGCAUGCAGGUAUUUUUUUUUUUUUUUNUUUUUGUCGGUACNNNNNNNNNNNNNNNNNNNNNNNNNNNNNNNNNNNNNNNNNNNNNNNUUUUUUGUUUUUCGGUACAUUAGUUCUCUCUUUUUUUUUUUAUUGAAAUAAGAAUGCGUCAGGAAAUCAUAUUAAAGUCCAAAAGAGAACUACACCCGCAUAUGGGAGAAAUUCCCCGGGACCUUGAUGACCAUAAUGAGCUACUUUUACAAAGUUCCGAUUUCAGAAAAGGAGAUACAUGUAAAUAUAUAUUAUCAGACGUCGACGCUGCACGUGGAGAUCUGCUGGAACUUGAUGCCCUUCCCGGACUCGCGAGAAAGAAAGGCCGGGCACGUGACGAAGAGGUCGUGGUGACCGGAGACCCAGAAACCCAUCUUCCACCGGAUCCGGCCCUCGAUCUUGACGUGGACUAGGAGGAAGCCGGACGACUGGUCCUGGGCGAUAGCCUCGGCGAGGUGGGGCGCCACCGGGACGCAGACGGCGUAGAGGAACGGUGACCAGAGGUCGACGUCGUUCUGGCCCUGGUAAAAGGGAGGGAUGGCGGUGGCGGGGGUGAUCUGCUGGUACUUAUAGGAGGUGAAGACGUCGACGCGGUCGUAGUAGAUGCCGACGCGGGCGUUGGGGUUGCGGGUGGAGAUGGUUACUCGGAUGGUGGUGGAGAGGAGGUUGUCCGGGGAGGAGACGUUGAAGGCGUAGACGGAGGCGUCCUGGAGGUAGAACUUGGGCUUGGUGGGGCGGAGGGCGAGCCAGAUGAUGAGGAUGAUGAGGAGGUUCAGUAUGAUGAAGGCCAGGAUCCCGGCCGAGAUGAGGUAGACCUUGCGACGUCGCUUGCACCCUCCGUGCUGGCCGCAGUCCGUCGCCAACGACAUGCUGCUGUUUGAGCUCGUGGGAAUGGGAGUGGGAGAGGAGAGAUGGAUGCAAGAGAAAGUAAUGCAGCAGGGGAGUUGGGAUGGCAACGGUGAUGCUUGGUGUAUUUAUAAUGGUAUCUCGUUUCUACUAACCACAUGCCUUCUCUUAGGAAGAGGGACAGUGGAUCAUGGCUAGCAGGUUGGAGGAUAUAAAAUAUUUUGGAUUGAGGGAUACCCGGGGGAUGUACGAUAAGUUUAUGGGGAUUGGAUGCUUUCAGGGAAGGCUGUGAGCGCACAGCGAGCGGCAGCUCAUGUUGGGGGACAAAAUAUAGGCUGCGUGUGCGCCCAAGAAGAAGGAUGUUCCAAAGAAUUUCUUUGAUGGAUAAAACCAAUGUCACAUUAAUAUUUUGAGCUGCAACCGCCUCAGCAUUUGUAAAAUUUUUAAAUUCAAAAUAUUGAUAUAAUAUUUUUUUAAAAAUUUUUUUUACCGACGGCCGCAAUGAAUUACUUUGAGAUUUAUGUAGAUCGAUGAAUCAUGAAAUCUGGAAUGGGUGAUCCAACAGCCGGUUCGUGCGAAGGAAGGUGAAUCCUUUUUUUCAUGCGAAAGAUGCAACCCUGCUCCCAAAAUAUAAUAUAAUAUAAUGUACGAAGAAGAAAGGCUAGUUUGAAAAGAUAACUCAAUUUUGGGAAUGGGAACUAACUUAUUUAUUUAUUUACAGCUAAUAUUGACUAGUUACAAUGUUAAUUGUACGGCAUGUGAAGGUCAACAAGUUAAUUGGAUCUUUGACUGAUGUAGAUCGACGAGAGGUCAAUUUGCACUCAACUUUUAGGCGUCCACGGAUAGCCUUAGGAGACCCAUCCAAAUUGAUCGCUCCAAACGAAGUUUUGCAAUCGGGCUCGGAUUGUAUCUUUCGCAUGAGAGAUGCUUGCGGGUAUGAUGGUAGCCCAGCAUGACAAUUAGCAUUGUUGGGCUUUGGCCUUUUUGUUUCUUCAGAAGAUCAAAAUAUCGGACCCCAAGAAGUGGUCAUGCGAUUCGUUUUAGGUAAGCAAAAGGGGACCAUAUGGGCCUAGGUCGUUGCUUAUGUAACAUACUGAAAUGACCGAGGCCUUCAUCAACCUUCUCAAUAAGCUUUCAACAAUGAAGUAAUUUGCUCGAAAAAGCUAUGCAUCCUUCCACAAGGUCUUUUGCAUUAUAAUAAUAAAAAUUCUAAGUAAAUGUUUUUUGACAAAUUUAUAUUUCUAACAAGUAGAUAACCGUAUAUUUUUUAAAAUAAGAUAAUUUUUCUAAUAUGAAACUUUCUAGAGCCCACUUCAGUUCUUCCUUUUAUUCAUCUUGGUUGAUAUUUAAUAGAUCUUUUUAAAUCUACGAGUAUAAGCUUGUGUGUAUAUCUAGUUUUUUUUUUUUCUUUACUUUUUUUGAUGUAAGUUUGUAUCUUUUUACUUAAUCAAAUGAUAUCUUCUUUAAUCAAAGGAUAGUUGCAAAUUAUGGAGUAGUAUUGGACCACCAAGCAUGCCAACGAAUGAAAUAAUUACUUACACAUAAUUUAUUCCUUUGUUCUAUAGCAAGUCAAGGAAGUCUAUUAAAAGUGAGCUAGCUGAUUCUUGCAUUGAUGGAAAAUCAUAUAAAUAAAUAUUAAAAGCCUUUUUUUAUACAAGGUUUUUGCUUUUAUGGUUUACUUGGUUAUAGGUCCUCCUCAAAGAAUGUGUCAUGUAUUCUAAUGAUGAUACCUUUUUUUUAGACAAAAAUGUGUUCCCCAUAACUUCAUUUCAUGAGAUAAGGAAUGAAUAUAGAAAAUUACAUAGAACAAGGAGAUUUAAACUCAGUUCAAUCAUUUAUAUACCACAAAAAUAGCACAAACAGACUUCUCAUUUUGGUACAAGUUUAGUGCCACAAAUGGUGCACACAAAACCUUUGAUCAGAAACCAACGAGAGAGAGUACUGUCCAUAUUGUGCAACUUUGGCCCAUGUAUGGGCUAUUAUGCCUAAAUAAAACCAACCAAUCAAGUACCCAUUUGGCCCUAUGCACACUGACCUAACCAGAAAGCAAACCUGCUUAAGCCUUCAUGCCAAGCCUGCGAACAGAUCUUGUCAAAUCUGAAAACAUAGAAUUGUUGCCAUGAUUAUUGCUGCUAUCAAGUGAUAUGAAACAUGAGAUGAAGCAUCAUUAAGCCAGAGAUGUUGAUUGUGAUCACGUUCCCACCUAUACCAUCGAAUCAAAAUCCUCUUGCACUCCACUUCUACUGUAUGAGUUAUCCCCUUUCUAUCUUGUUAAUUAUCUUUAGUUAAAUCCAGAUAGAUUGUGGGGCAUGGAAUAUAGAGUACGGUGCAAGAUUGUGACGUGUGCAUGAUCUGGGAACUUGUUUUGGAUUUUUUAACAAGUUGGUCAAGUCACUUUUUUUACAAACUCAUUAAAAAUUAGUUGAUAUAUGUGAACUAAGGGUAUUUUAAUUAUUUUAUCUUUUCUAUUAAUGUUGUAAAGUCGGAUGAUUAUGCCUCUUUACAAUUUUUUUAAAAUUUUUAGGGUCUAUUUGAAAUUUUUAAAUUUUUGGGAUCCCAAUGCAAAUGGAUGAAAAUUCAAGAGGUAUUGCUGUAAUUUUUUUCUUUAAUUUAUUUUGUGUCUUUUGCAUCUCAAGAGUAUCUUAUAGACCAUUUGGAGUCAUAAUUGCAUCCAUAGUCACCACUUUGAUAAAGAUAAGCUCCUACUCGGUGCUUUCUCCUCCUCUUCUUCUUUUUUUUUUUUUUUUUUUGUCUUCCUCCUUUUUGUAGACAUUCUUUAGCCUUUAUUGCUUGAGAUGACUGGUGGCUGGAUGCAUAUACCCUUCGGUCCUCGCCUUUCUGAUGCAAUUCCAUUUCAAAAAGAUAGGCGUCUUUUAUACAUGUGUUUCGAAAUCUUGGUCUUAGGAUCUCUUAUCUAGGUAUCAGCCCUCAUUAGCAUUGAAAUAGCAUGGGCAAGACAGAGCUGGCCGACCUUAUAUGGUUUUUUUUACUUAAGUUUGGAAAGUAGACCAAACCUCUUUUAGGACAAAGAAAUUUUUAUUUUUGCAAGCUCAUAUAGCUUAAGCACAUGGUAAAUUUUGAUAGAAACAUCUUAAAUCAACCUCCCUGUUUACAUUUUUUUUUUCUUUGUAAGCUUGCUGCCCAAGUGAUUCUUAAUCCAAAUUCAUUAUGGGUGAAGUUGAUGCAUGCUAAAUAUAAAUUCUCAAGUGAUUGGUAUAGCCAUAGAUGACCACGAAGAUGCUCUCCCAUGUGUGGACCACUGGUUCAACCUCAUUUUAUUUGGGCUGUGGGGAAUGGCUCUAGCAUAAAGGUGUUGAAGGACCGUUGGCUAUCAUCUAUCCCUUUUUUACUGUGGCCUCUUCUCUAAAUAUGAAUGAAUAUUAUCGGGAUUUCUAUGUGCAGGGCCUCAUUGACCAGGACCAUGGUUGGAAUCAGACCUUGUUAAGGUUCUUAUUCCCAACUACCAUAGUUGAAUGGUAGUUGUUUUCAAGAGCAAAAGACCCCCAAGGGGUCGAGCGAGAAGGAGCUUAUUGCCAUGGCCUCUUUAUACACCAAUUGCAGUAUAUCAAGUACUCCUCAGCCAUUCUCCGUAAGAAUGUGCCGAACAAAGCUACUAAACCUUAUUUUGUGUUUUGUUAUCAUAUUUUGGCUUCAUUCAUCUUUGCAGUUAAUGGUUCAGCACACCUAGUUUUGUAUCUACCACAGGUUGCUGCAUGUUCCAUUUGUAUACUCUCCUACAUCUACCUCUACGUAUACUCUUAUAUUCUUCUCGCCUCUGGCUCCUUUGUUUUACACGCACACCGCCCACCACCCACCCCAAACCCACCCCCCCCCCCCUCCCCUCCAAAAAAAAAAAGGAGAAAAGGUAGCACAAGCGUGGGCUAUGAAAAAUUGUCCGAUUAUAAUAUAGAUAAUUUGCACUCAAUUUUUAGGCAUCUUUAGAUAGUUCUAAAAGGCCGAUCUAAAUUGGUCGCUAUAAACGAAGUAUAGCAAUUUGAUUGGGGUUGUAUCUUUAGGGUGAAAGAAUAAUUGAUGUUCUUUCAUAGCAAUGACGCAAUCACGUUGAGGAUGUUGCAUGGGCAUGCAAGAAUUUUUUUUUUUUUAAUGGUGCAUUAGUUUCCAUUUUUCAUUGAAAUAAGAAUGCGUAGAGGAAGUCAAACCAAAGUCCACCAGAGAACUACACCCAUGCAUGGGAGAAAUUCCCCAUGAACUACUUUUUACGAAGUUCCGAUUUUAGAAAACGAGAUGUAUAAAUAUAUAUUGUCAGACGUCAACGUUACACGUGGAGAUCUGCUGGAACUUGAUGACCGUCGGGUCGCCGACGCCGUUCCCGGACUGGCAGGAAAGAAAGGCCGGGCAGGUGACGAAGAGGUCGUAGUGACCGGAGACCCAGAAGCCCGUCUUCCAACGGAUCCGGCCCUCGAUCUUGACGCGGACGAGGAGGAAGCCGGAGGACUGGUCCUGGGAGAUAGCCUCGGCGAGGUAGGGCGCCACCGGGACGGAGACGCCGUAGAGGUACGGUGACCAGACGUCGACGUCGUUCUGGCCCUGGUAAAACGGAGGGACGGCGGUGGCGGGUGUGAUCUGCUGGUACUUAUAGGAGGCGAAGACGUCGACGCGGUCGUAGUAGAUGCCGACGCGGGCGUUGGGGUUGCGGGUGGUGAUGGUUACCUGGAUGGUGGUGGAGAGGAGGUUGUUCGGGGAGGAGACGUUGAAGGCGUAGACGGAGGCGUCCUGGAGGUCGAACUUGGGCUUGGUGGGGCGGAGGGCGAGCCAGAUGAUGAGGAUGAUGAGGAGGUUCAGUAUGAUGAAGACCAGGAUCCAGGCCAAGAUGCGGCAGCGCUUGCGUCGCUUGCAACAGUCGUCGUGGCAGCACCCGCCGUGGUGGCCGCAGUCGCACUUCAAGUUCCACCACGACAUGCUGCUGUUUGAGCUCGUGGGGCGAGGAACUGGAGUGGGAGAGACGCAAGAGAAACUAAUGCAGGGGAGAUGGGAUGGCCACGGCGAUGCUUGGUCUAUGUGUAUUUAUAAUGGUGUCUCGUUUCUACCAACCACAUGCCUUCCCUUAGGAAGAGGGGCAGUAGAUAUCAUGGCUAGCAGGUUGGAGGAUAUAAAAUAUUUUGGAUUGAGGGAUACAAGGGGAUGAUAAGUUUAUGGGGAUUGGACGCUUUCAGGGAAGGCUGUAAGUGCACAGCAAGCGGCAGCACACCUUCGGGGACAAAAUAUAGGCUGUGGGCGCAAGAAGAAGGAUGUUACAAAGGAAUUCUUUGAUGGAUAAAAUAAAUAAAAAAAUAUCACAUCAACAUUUUGAGCUGCAACGGCCUCAGCAUAAACCUCCGGUGAUUGCAAAAUUUUUCAAUUCAAAAUAGUACUUAUCACACAUCCGAUCCGAGAUCGAGAAUCGAGAGUCGCGACAACCGCCGCAUAUUCAUAAAGAACUCUCUCCAUAAACAUGCAAGACAUCUCAUCACGAUAUCAAUACAUCACAACGAAAUAAAUUCAAGUAAUUAUUAUUCAACUGUAAUUCAAAUAAUUAAAUCAAAUGUCUUACAUCCAAUAAAAUUUUUUCACUAACAAUAAAACAAUAGAUCUAAGUUCAAUUGAAGUUGACAACGUUAAAUCUCGCCUCUAAAGUUCUGUCCCAAUAUUUUUUCUCACGCUCGAAAUUAAUUAUCUGAAUCUGAAAAAUAGAAGGAAAGGUAAUGAGCUAGACAGCCCAGUAAGUAACAAAUAUCUCAACUAGAUAAUUCAGAUAUUAUAUAAUUUUCAAGAAUAAUGCUGUAAAUAAACAUAGGAAUAUAUUUCAUGCUGAUUUAAUACAAAUCAAUUAUUUUCAAAUAUUCACAUAUAAUAUAAUCAUAAAUCUGAUUCGAUUCAAAACACUCGUAACUCAACAGCCUCGACUAUGACCAACAUUUAACCCCCAUUAGCGGGGUCCACAGAAUACCAGCGCACAACCCCCACUGGCAGGGUCCACAAAUAUCAGCGCACAACCCUCACUGGCAGGGUCCACAAACACCAGUGCACAACCCCCACUGGCAGGGUCCACUGAGUACCAACGUAUAAUCCCCAUUGGCGGGGUCCACUGAAACAUAGUUAGGCUGAGAGCAUAAAUCCGAUCUGUAUCAAAACACUUUGAAUCAUAAUAUAUCAUAAUUUUUCACUGAAUAUGUGCAUAAUUCGAUGUACCAUAAUAUUUCAAAAGUACUUUUCUUUCAAAAUAUAAUUUCAUAAAUCAUGCAUAAUUUUCAGAGAAUAAUUAUUUAUUUUCAGAAUAAAUAUGGAAUAUCUCGAGAAGAUGAUUUAUUACUUACCUUUCACGGAGCACUGAACGAAUAGAUCGACUAACUUCUAGUAGAUUCUUCCACGCCUANNNNNNNNNNNNNNNNNNNNNNNNNNNNNNNNNNNNNNNNNNNNNNNNNNNNNNNNNNNNNNNNNNNNNNNNNNNNNNNNNNNNNNNNNNNNNNNNNNNNNNNNNNNNNNNNNNNNNNNNNNNNNNNNNNNNNNNNNNNNNNNNNNNNNNNNNNNNNNNNNNNNNNNNNNNNNNNNNNNNNNNNNNNNNNNNNNNNNNNNNNNNNNNNNNNNNNNNNNNNNNNNNNNNNNNNNNNNNNNNNNNNNNNNNNNNNNNNNNNNNNNNNNNNNNNNNNNNNNNNNNNNNNNNNNNNNNNNNNNNNNNNNNNNNNNNNNNNNNNNNNNNNNNNNNNNNNNNNNNNNNNNNNNNNNNNNNNNNNNNNNNNNNNNNNNNNNNNNNNNNNNNNNNNNNNNNNNNNNNNNNNNNNNNNNNNNNNNNNNNNNNNNNNNNNNNNNNNNNNNNNNNNNNNNNNNNNNNNNNNNNNNNNNNNNNNNNNNNNNNNNNNNNNNNNNNNNNNNNNNNNNNNNNNNNNNNNNNNNNNNNNNNNNNNNNNNNNNNNNNNNNNNNNNNNNNNNNNNNNNNNNNNNNNNNNNNNNNNNNNNNNNNNNNNNNNNNNNNNNNNNNNNNNNNNNNNNNNNNNNNNNNNNNNNNNNNNNNNNNNNNNNNNNNNAGUUUUUAUCCUAUUAUUUUUUUGGGCUUGUUUCUUAGGUUUUGGGCUAUCACAGUACUGCUGUAGUAUUCUUUUUAUUCGCUUUGUCUACGGCCAAUAUGAAUCACUUUGAGAUUAAUACAGGUUGAUGAAUCAUGAAAUUUGGAGUGCUUUCAGGUCUGCUGGUGGGUAAUCCAACGGUUGGUUCGUGCGAGGGAGGUUGAAUCCUUCUUUCACGCGAAAGAUGCAACCCGGUCCCCAAAAUAUAAUAUUAUAUAGGAAGAAGAAAGUCUAGUUUGAAAAGAUAUCCCUACUUCGAGAAUGGGAACUAAUUUAUUUAUUUAGUUACACCUAACGUUGACUAGCUGUAAAAUUUAUUGUACGGUAUGUUGAGGUCAAUAAGCCAGAGCGGUAAAUCAGAUCUGCUGCAUUUAAGGUUGAAAAUGGGCUCUGGCCCGGCUGCACAUCAAAUUUCAGACUUGACCAGAAUAAAAUCAGAUCAGAUCUGGACUUGGAUAUGAACUCUAUUUCAUUUUCGGACUGAGCUUGGGUCUAUCAUUAGUCUAGUUUGGGCUCAGCCCGGGGUCGAGCCCGUCUACUAGUCUGAUCUUAGCCCGAAAUUCAAGCUCAAGCCCAAGGUUCAAAUAUAAUCUUUUAUUAUAUAAAUGAUGGCUGAGCUUGGCCAUCUAACUCAAAUUAGACUCAAGACUCCAGACUCUCUCCAUCCAUAGCUCAUCCUUGGCUUAAUAAAUAGCAGCUCUUUUUUCCCAAAAGUAAGAUCUUCGUCCUCUUCCUCUAAACCCUAACCUCCCCUUUUUCAUGGAAGACAAUGAUGACGUCCGCUCCGAGUCUCAGUCCAAGUCACCAUCACAAUCCCAAUCCCUACCACUGUCGCUGCUGACACACCCCCAUCUCUGUAGUGGCACCCUUCUCUAUCGCCACCCUCCUCUACCGCCACUGCCACCUCCCACUUCAAUGGUCGCGUCACUAUCGAGCCUGUCACCGUUGCUGCCCCUCCCCAGCACACCCUAACUUUGGCCCUCCCCAUCCAGUGAUCCUUUGGCGACGGCGGCGGCAACGGCAUCUGCCGCGAGGAUUGCUAGGGUGAGGGUGCCACCUCAAUCUUGAUCAACGCAUGGGGCGAGUGAUACUUGGAGCUCAACUAGAGGAAUCACCUCGAGUUGCGACAGCUACAGGAAAAUCCCCAAAACUAACAUGUAAUACACAUGAAUGAAACUGGCGUAGAAGUAGGAGACAGCGAGCAAGUUGAGAGGAACGGAAAGGAGAGGGAUCAUAAUCGGGAGAGGGAUAGGAAGUGUGACAGGUUCAGGGAGCACGAGAGAGAGAGAGAGAGAGGAAGAGGGAGUGGGAGUGCUCGGGAGCAGGAGUCGCUCAAAAGAGGUAUGGAAAUUUUAAGAGAGGGAGAAAGAAAGGAGAGAGAAACAGAGAGGGAGAGGAUUUGGGCCAAAUCUCAGGCUCAGGUUUGGAUCUUAAAUUUUAUAAUAUUUUCAAGCUUAAACCCAGUCUGAAAUCUGAAAAAAUAUUUUGGAUCAGGCUCGAAUAGAAGUGUGGCCCAAUCCAAUCCGAUCCGUUUCCAAUAAUGUCCCCAUUGCACUGUAGGCAUGCUCAUUCGAGAAUGACUGGGUCUUUUGAUCACAACCAUUGGAUCUUAAUUUCAUGGAUGGACAGAUGUAGAUCACACAAAGGCAUCAAAAAAUUUGGUUAGGAGUCACUAUCUGGAUCGUUAGUUGGCAAGCGAUGGUCUGCCUCUGGUCAGAAAAAAAGUAGGCCUCAUUCAAUUUGCACUCAAUUUUUCGGUGUCUUCGGAUAGCCUUUGAACACCGAUCCAAAUUGGUCGCUAUAAACGGGCAUGGGUCGUAUCUUCGGCAUGAGAGAAUGAUUGACCUUUCUUCUCUUCAUGACAUCAACCAUUCUAUUGUAUCUUAUACAGCUCUUAAAGCACACCAAACUCUCUCUUUUAUUGCGUAGAUAUUGUAGUAAUUGUUGUGCGAUCAAAUGAUGCAUAUUGCGGAAAAGAUGAAUCAUUCUUGGGCAUAAAAGAUACUUCCAAACUUGUACAAUAAUUAAAUUCAGAUUGCAUAUUGCAAAUGAAAGAAUGAUUGGUGUCCUUUCACAAUAUGGAUCACACAUAUCUCAAAGCAUUCUGAGUUUUUUCAUCCACCUCUAUGGAUCUUGAAAUGGUCAUUACGCAAUCCACCUGGUUGACAUCAGAACAACAACAACAAAAAGAAAAAAAAAAAGAAAAGAAAAGAAAACCUCUUUUCCAACAAAAGAUACAACCCGAACAUGAAGCAACCACUCCGGGAUGCUGCAUGUGCGUCCAGUAAUUUUUUUUUUUUAAUUAACCGAAAAUGGAGGAACCACAUAGUUCCUCCUUUAUUUUGUUUGUACAUUAGUUCCCCUUUUUAUUGAAAUAAGAAUGCGUUCAGUAAAUCAUAACAAAGUCCAAAAGAGAACUAGACCCACAUAUAUAUGGGGUGUCCCCUCCCCUGUAAAUAGACGAUCCCCAUGACCUUAAUGAACUACUUUUACAAAGCUCCAAUCUAACAUGAUUGCGUAAUUCACAAUUAACUUGCAAUUACAUGAAUACACGUGAAAAAAGAAAAAUCUAACCCUCUUCUCUCCUCAUCCAACCCCGGAAAUUCCACCGUUUCAGAAAUAAGAGAAGGACCCGGGGACCGCUCACCGGCGUCGAAGAUAUAUAGAUAUUAUCAGACGUCGACGCUGCAGGUGGAGAUCUGCUGGAACUUGAUGACCGGCGGGUCGCCGACGCCCUUCCCCGACUCGAAAGAAAGAAAGGCCGGGCAGGUGACGAAGAGGUGGUAGUGACCGGAGACCCAGGAGCCCACCUUCCACCGGAUCCGGCCGUCGAUCUUGACGUGGACGAGGAUGAAACCAGAGGACUGGUCCUGGGAGAUAGCCUCGGCGAGGUAAGGCGCGACGGGGACGGAGACGCCGCAGAGGUACGGUGACCAGAGGUCGACGUCGUUGUGACCCUGGUAAAAGGGAGGGACGGCGGUGGCGGGGGUGAUCUGCUGGUAUUUGUAGGAGGCGAAGACGUCGAUGCGGUCGUAGUAGAUGCCGACGCGGUCGUUGGGGUUGCGGGUGGAGAUGGUGACCUGGAUGGUGGAGGAGAGGAGGUUGUCCGGGGAGGAGACGUUGAAGGCGUAGACGGAGGCGUCCUGGAGGUAGAAUUUGGGCUUGGUGGGGCGGAGGACGAGCCAGAUGAUGAGGAUGAUGAGGAGGAUGAGGAUGAUGAAGGCCAGGAUCCAGGCGAAGAUGACGCGGUAGAGCCUGCGCCGCUUGCAGCAGUCGUCGUCGCAGCAGCCGCUCACCUUGCACGAC